CUCACCUACGGGGCGCAGCAGUGGGGAAUAUUGCACAAUGGGGGAAACCCUGAUGCAGCGACGCCGCGUGAGUGAAGAAGUAUUUCGGUAUGUAAAGCUCUCUCAGCAGGGAAGAAGAAAGACGGUACCUGACUAAGAAGCCCCGGCUAACUACGUGCCAGCAGCCGCGGUAAUACGUAGGUGGCGAGCGUUAUCCGGAAUGAUUGGGCGUAAAGGGUGCGUAGGCGGCCUGCUAAGUCUGGAGUGAAAGGUACCGGCUCAACCGGUACAGGCUCUGGAAACUGGCGGGCUAGAGAGCAGGAGAG
Molecule: ribosomal RNA, 305 nt
Filed under: uncultured bacterium
Lineage: Bacteria
Description: bacterial SSU rRNA
Rfam family: Bacterial small subunit ribosomal RNA
Source: RNAcentral